GUAACACUGUUGUUUUUUUUGGUCGUCAUGAAAAAAAACAUAAGGGGUAACAUUGGUCGUUUUUUAUUGGUCGUCAUGAAAAAAAACAUAAGGGGUAACACUGUUGUUUUUUAUUGGUCGUCAUAAAAAAAAACAUAAGGGGUAACACUGUCGUUUUUUAUUGGUCGUCAUGAAAAAAAACAUAAGGGGUAACACUGUUGUUUUUUAUUGGUCGUCAUGAAAAAAACAUAAGGGGUAACAUUGUUGUUUUUUAUUGGUCGUCAGGAAAAAAAA
Gadus morhua (Atlantic cod) is the source of this 273-nucleotide long non-coding RNA. Lineage: Eukaryota; Metazoa; Chordata; Actinopteri; Gadiformes; Gadidae. The record is from Ensembl.